GACAGCAGUCGCCGCGGUAAUACGGAGGGUGCAAGCGUUAUCCGGAUUUAUUGGGUUUAAAGGGUCCGUAGGCGGAUCUGUAAGUCAGUGGUGAAAUCUCACAGCUUAACUGUGAAACUGCCAUUGAUACUGCAGGUCUUGAGUAAAUUUGAAGUGGCUGGAAUAAGUAGUGUAGCGGUGAAAUGCAUAGAUAUUACUUAGAACACCAAUUGCGAAGGCAGGUCACUAAGAUUUAACUGACGCUGAUGGACGAAAGCGUGGGGAGCGAACAGGAUUAGAUACCCCGGUAGUCCCUGUCUCUUAUAU
Molecule: ribosomal RNA, 306 nt
Filed under: uncultured bacterium
Lineage: Bacteria
Description: partial 16S ribosomal RNA
Rfam family: Bacterial small subunit ribosomal RNA
Source: RNAcentral